UAGCAUAUCAAUAAGCGGAGGAAAAGAAACCAACUGGGAUUGCCCUAGUAACGGCGAGUGAAGCGGCAACAGCUCAAAUUUGAAAUCUGGCUCCUCCUCGGGGUCCGAGUUGUAAUUUGCAGAGGAUGCUUUGGCGUGGCUCCGGUCUAAGUCCCUUGGAACAGGGCGUCGUAGAGGGUGAGAAUCCCGUAUGCGACCGGCCGCCUUCGCCGUGUAAAGCUCCUUCGACGAGUCGAGUUGUUUGGGAAUGCAGCUCUAAAUGGGAGGUAAAUUUCUUCUAAAGCUAAAUAUUGGCCAGAGACCGAUAGCGCACAAGUAGAGUGAUCGAAAGAUGAAAAGCACUUUGGAAAGAGAGUUAAAAAGUACGUGAAAUUGUUGAAAGGGAAGCGCUUGCAACCAGAUCUGCCCGCAGUUGCUCACCCGGGCUUCUGCCCGGUGCACUCUUCUGCGGGCAGGCCAGCAUCGGUUUGGGCGGCCGGACAAAGGCUUCGGGAAUGUGGCUCCUCUCGGGGAGUGUUAUAGCCCGUCGCGCAAUGCGGCCAGCCCGGACCGAGGUCCGCGCUUCGGCUAGGAUGCUGGCGUAAUGGUUGUAAGCGGCCCGUCUUGAAACACGGACCAAGGAGUCUACCAUCUGUGCGAGUGUUUGGGUGUCAAACCCAUGCGCGUAAUGAAAGUGAACGGAGGCGGGAACCUUCGGGUGCACCGUCGACCGAUCCUGAUGUCUUCGGAUGGAUUUGAGUAAGAGCAUGGCUGGUGGGACCCGAAAGAUGGUGAACUAUGCUUGAAUAGGGUGAAGCCAGAGGAAACUCUGGUGGAGGCUCGCAGCGGUUCUGACGUGCAAAUCGAUCGUCAAAUUUGGGCAUAGGGGCGAAAGACUAAU
RNAcentral lists this ribosomal RNA (880 nucleotides) under Hysterium hyalinum. RNAcentral's name for it is "LSU rRNA". It matches the Rfam family "Eukaryotic large subunit ribosomal RNA", at positions 36 to 935 of the family's 3401-position model. Lineage: Eukaryota; Fungi; Ascomycota; Dothideomycetes; Hysteriales; Hysteriaceae. The record is from RNAcentral.